RNAcentral lists this ribosomal RNA (253 nucleotides) under uncultured bacterium. RNAcentral describes it as "partial 16S ribosomal RNA". It matches the Rfam family "Bacterial small subunit ribosomal RNA", at positions 524 to 776 of the family's 1533-position model. The record is from RNAcentral.
UACGAAGGGGGCUAGCGUUGCUCGGAAUCACUGGGCGUAAAGGGUGCUUAGGCGGGUCUUUAAGUCAGGGGUGAAAUCCUGGAGCUCAACUCCAGAACUGCCUUUGAUACUGAGGAUCUUGAGUACGGGAGAGGUGAGUGGAACUGCGAGUGUAGAGGUGAAAUUCGUAGAUAUUCGCAAGAACACCAGUGGCGAAGGCGGCUCACUGGCCCGUAACUGACGCUGAGGCACGAAAGCGUGGGGAGCAAACAGG